Molecule: ribosomal RNA, 913 nt
Filed under: uncultured archaeon
Lineage: Archaea
Description: bacterial SSU rRNA
Rfam family: Archaeal small subunit ribosomal RNA
Source: RNAcentral
UUCCGGUUGAUCCUGCCGGACCCGACUGCUAUCAGAGUGGGACUAAGCCAUGCGAGUCAACGUAGCAAUGCGUGGCGAACGGCUCAGUAACACGUAGUCAACAUGCCCAGGGGACGUGGAUAACCUCGGGAAACUGAGAUUAAACCGCGAUAGGUCAAGAUUUCUGGAAUGGAUCCUGGCUUAAAUCUACAUGGCCCCUGGAUUGGACUGCGGCCGAUCAGGCUGUUGGUGAGGUAAUGGCCCACCAAACCUAUAACCGGUACGGGCUCUGAGAGGAGAAGCCCGGAGAUGGGCACUGAGACAAGGGCCCAGGCCCUAUGGGGCGCAGCAGGCGCGAAAACUCUGCAAUGGGCGAAAGCCUGACAGGGUUACUCUGAGUGAUUUCCGCUAAGGAGAUCUUUUGGCAGCUCUAAAAAUGGUGCAGAAUAAGGGGUGGGCAAGUCUGGUGUCAGCCGCCGCGGUAAUACCAGCACCCCGAGUGGUCGGGACGAUUAUUGGGCCUAAAGCAUCCGUAGCCGGUUGUGCAAGUCCUCCGUUAAAUCCAGCCGCUCAACGGAUGGGCUGCGGAGGAUACUACAGAACUAGGAGGCGGGAGAGGCAAGCGGUACUUAGUGGGUAGGGGUAAAAUCCUUUGAUCCAUUGAAGACCACCAGUGGCGAAGGCGGCUUGCCAGAACGCGCUCGACGGUGAGGGAUGAAAGCUGGGGGAGCAAACCGGAUUAGAUACCCGGGUAGUCCCAGCUGUAAACGAUGCAGACUCGGUGAUGGGCUAGCCUCGUGUCAGCCCAGUGCCGCAGGGAAGCCGUUAAGUCUGCCGCCUGGGGAGUACGGUCGCAAGACUGAAACUUAAAGGAAUUGGCGGGGGAGCACCACAAGGGGUGAAGCCUGCGGUUCAAUUGGAUUCAACGCCGGAA